Molecule: long non-coding RNA, 3143 nt
Organism: Clarias gariepinus (North African catfish)
Lineage: Eukaryota; Metazoa; Chordata; Actinopteri; Siluriformes; Clariidae
Exons: 3
Source: RefSeq, a predicted model, not a curated record
CAAAGCUGCAGAUGCAGACGUUUAGGAGAAUGGCAGAGGAGGCGUUGUUUAAAUGCAUUAAUGUAUAAAUGAAUGGAUGAAUGGACUAAUGGAUUCAUUAAUUUAGGAUUGAAUAUUUAUAGAGAGGCCAAUCCCUCAUACACUUGCUCUUAGUUGUGUUCCCUUUUAAGAGCACAUAGGUCUGAUGUUUGGGUUGUUUUUUUCUGCAUAUUUUUUUUACACUUCAAGAUACAGAUCAUUAAACAAAUGUCAAUAUUACACAAAGAUAAUCAUGAUUUUAUUUAUUAAGGAAAAAAGCUGUCCAAACCUAGCUGGCCUUUGUAAAAAUGCUAAACCAUGAAAGAACUGUGAUUAUUCACAAUUGUUGGAAAGCUGAGUUAAAUUUCACCGAGGCCUGAUUACUGCCAGAGCUGUUGAAUCAAGAAAUCUCUUAAAUAGAACUUGUCUAACAAAGUGUUUCACACUAAAAGAUCUAAAAAGCAACAUGAUCUAAAGAAACUUAAGAACAGAUGAGAAAUAAAGCUUGGAAAGGGCCAUUAUCCACGAAUGGGGAAAACAUGGAACAUUAGUGAACCGUACCAGGAAUGGCUGGCCUACUAAUAUUACUCAUCCAGGAACUUAUAAAAGAACCCAGAACAUCAUCUAAAGAACUGCAGGCCUCACUGGCCUCAGUUAAGGUCAGUGUUCAUAAUUCAAGAAUAAGAGACAAAAAUAUGGACACAUUUGCCCAAAACUUCUUGAUUAUACCCAAGUCUUUAAGCAUGUAUUCUGUGGACUGAUAAGACAAAAGUUGAACGUUUUGGAAGGUUUGCGUCCCAUUACAUCUGACACAACAUUUCAUGAAAAGAGCCUCAUACCAAGAGUCAAACACGGUGGUGGUAGCAUGAUGGUCUGGGGCUGCUUUACAGCUUCAGAACCUGGACGAUUUGCCAUAAUUUAUGCUUUACCAGAAAAUACUGAAGAGAAUGUCUGGCAAUCAAUUCGUAACCUCAGGUUCAAAUGCACUUGAGUUAUGUAGCAGGUUAAUGAUCUGAAACACACAGUCAGGAAAGUUUGAUAAGCUUUUUUCCCUUAAUAAAUGAAAUCAUCAUUUAAAAAUUGCGUUUUGUAUUUACCUGGGUUAUCUUUGUGUAAUAUUAAAAUUCGUUUAAUAAUCUAAAUUAUUUAAGUGUGACACAUGAAAAAAAAAAACUUUUUUCACAGCACUAUACAUUAGCAAGGACAAAAUAAUACUGACAUUAUUUAAGAAUAACUGAUUCCUUUAAUUCGUUCAUGGUGAUGUCAAUAAUCUACUAUUUAUCCAAAUACUUAAUUAACAAACAUUGGGUGAUUUACCUAGCAUGCUAAUCAGCAGUGAGCUGAUAUGACUACGUCUCCCUCGUUAGCUUUAAAAACUAAAUUCAGCCACUGUGUCCCCAGUGGCUCAGAUACCUAACCCUAGGAAGGUAGCCGAGGUCAACAACUGUACACAACACUCGCUUAGGCGCCAUUUUGCUCCAGCGGCAAAAAACAAUGGCCGACAGCUUCUUCUCACUCGGGGCGGGUCUUUGCUAAAACAUCAGUGUCAAUCAACUAGUGUAGGAGUGGCCUCUUGUGGUGUGGCGUCACAUCGACAGGCAUUUGCGAUUGGCCUGAUUUCAGAAGGGGCAUGUUAUUGUAAUAAAUGAAAAGAAAACCACUGGGCGGCUCUUUAUCUUUGUAGAGUGGUUGUGUACGCACUCUCCUAGCACAAUCCCAAAUAUUUUUAUCCAAAUAUCCUGAAUACCAGUCUCCCACUCUGUGAUAAACAUAAAUCAUGGAUUUCAAAUCAAAUGUGUUUGGUGUAUGAUACACUCAAAAAAAUGAACAUGGCUACCUGUUACAUGUACUAAAAUGUAAUAUGUGUUUUGUACAUAAUAAUUUCAUGUUUCCAAGAUGAACAUGAAUAAAUUAUGUUGUAUUUGCAUGAAAAUCAACAACUUAACAUGUAUUAGAUUUAAUCAUGUUGAGAUAAACCAAAGAGAUCUUGUCACUAGGAAAAUCGGAAAUAUCAGAGCAAACAUCGCGAGAACAUAUCGCGAGAAGAGAACAGUUUGUUGAGAAGACAAACGUUUGGCAGGCGUGUGGAAAAGCUGUUUGUGAAUGAAAAGUGUCCCAUCUGCAUCUGACUUCAGGAGUUUCUUGACCAACCGUAUCUAACGGUCAUAUUUAAAAAUCAUAACGUACAGUUAUAAAGUACAAAAUGUUUCUGUUGGUGUAUAAUUUUUUAUGAUUAAUACUUAUUUGUGGUGUUUUAUGUUUUGUUCAUCUUUUUAAAUUGAGACCUCGUGUAAGUUGCUGCUGGUGUAAAAUAAAAAUCUCUGUUUUAUCCUGUUUGUCUUAAGGUGUGUUUGAGCUCAUGCUGCGCUGCGCAAACCGAUCGACAAGAUUAGCCGAAAGCAGUCGGGGAGGAGCUAAAAACGGAGCCGUCAAGUCGGACACGUUGGGGAUCUCAUUGCUUUCUCAAACAUGGCAGAUCACGUGCCGUUUGCCUACUUUAUUGCAGAUGAACUGGAAGCUAUAGAAAUACCUUUUUUGUUGGAAGAAAUGCAGCAGAAUGAACAACGACGCUCCUCCACAACAGUUCCCAAACUGGUCAACAUUCUUUUUUCAAAAGAUCGUCUGCGCCUCUCUUUCAGUUGACGCCAUCUCUCCAGGUCCGGCCUUACAAGAGACUCAAGCACAGCUGUUCUUCGUUCUGCAUGCGCUUCAUAUGCCUCAAAAAAUUGUGAGGGUUGUGAGAAUCUCUGCCUCCUGGACAUGUUUGUACUGGCAGAGGUCCCCAGCUGCCCAUCUACAGAAGCACCUGCUGCCUGAGCUUAAGGAAGAGAGAUUGAUGGAGGCUUGUUUUGAGAAGGUGGAUCUUCCAAACAUAGAAGAGUAGAGCAGAUAGUUCCAGGUGGUGCAGUUCCCAUCCCAGAGGACCCAAAUAGCUCAUCCAUUUGCUGCAGAAAAAGCACGAUGUAAUAUGAAAGUGACUUUAUAAUAAAAUGCAAAAUUAUCUUAUACAGUGCAGUCUUAGACUUACUGUGUAGUACUCCCAGGUUUUCUUUUCCCUCCCCAGUUGCACGGCAGUGAUCCUUAACUCUUUUAUAAGUAGUUAACAUGUUGGUUAACUUUUUUUU